GAUGAAGAACGUAGCGAAAUGCGACAAGUAAUGUGAAUUGCAGAAUUCAGUGAAUCAUCGAAUCUUUGAACGCACAUUGCGCCCCUUGGUAUUCCGAGGGGCAUGCCUGUUCGAGCGUCAUUAUAACCCCUCAAGCUCAGCUUGGUGUUGGGGCCUGCUGCACUGGCAGCCCUUAAAAUCAGUGGCGGCGCCAUCUGGCUCUAAGCGUAGUAAUUCUUCUCGCUAUGGAGUCCUGGUGGAUGCUUGCCAUCAACCCCCAAUUUUUCUAUGGUUGACCUCGGAUCAGGUAGGGAUACCCGCUGAACUUAAGCAUAUCAAUAAGCGGAGGA
RNAcentral lists this unclassified non-coding RNA (329 nucleotides) under soil metagenome. Its description in RNAcentral is "partial contains 5.8S ribosomal RNA, internal transcribed spacer 2, and large subunit ribosomal RNA". The stretch from base 1 to 120 matches the Rfam family "5.8S ribosomal RNA", at positions 35 to 154 of the family's 154-position model. The record is from RNAcentral.